GAUGAACGCUGGCGGCGUGCCUAAUACAUGCAAGUCGAGCGAACAGACGAGGAGCUUGCUCCUCUGACGUUAGCGGCGGACGGGUGAGUAACACGUGGAUAACCUACCUAUAAGACUGGGAUAACUUCGGGAAACCGGAGCUAAUACCGGAUAAUAUUUUGAACCGCAUGGUUCAAUAGUGAAAGACGGUUUUGCUGUCACUUAUAGAUGGAUCCGCGCUGCAUUAGCUAGUUGGUAAGGUAACGGCUUACCAAGGCAACGAUGCGUAGCCGACCUGAGAGGGUGAUCGGCCACACUGGAACUGAGACACGGUCCAGACUCCUACGGGAGGCAGCAGUAGGGAAUCUUCCGCAAUGGGCGAAAGCCUGACGGAGCAACGCCGCGUGAGUGAUGAAGGUCUUCGGAUCGUAAAACUCUGUUAUUAGAGAAGAACAAAUGUGUAAGUAACUAUGCGCGUCUUGACGGUACCUAAUCAGAAAGCCACGGCUAACUACGUG
RNAcentral lists this ribosomal RNA (497 nucleotides) under uncultured bacterium. RNAcentral's name for it is "partial 16S ribosomal RNA". It matches the Rfam family "Bacterial small subunit ribosomal RNA", at positions 28 to 507 of the family's 1533-position model. The record is from RNAcentral.